Molecule: long non-coding RNA, 365 nt
Organism: Musca vetustissima
Lineage: Eukaryota; Metazoa; Arthropoda; Insecta; Diptera; Muscidae
Exons: 2
Source: RefSeq, a predicted model, not a curated record
GCACUCAGCACGCGCCACCCAAGAAUGGUUAUAAAAUGAGGUUCCUCGCUUCAUUUCUAGAACACAAUGGCCACAAAAAUCUCCGGAUACCAGUCCGUUGAACUAUUGUGUCUGGAGUAUUUUGGAAAGCAAGGUUAAAAAAUACCAAAGUGUCGAUCACCUCAAGCAAGCGCUUCGCCGGGAAUGGGCCAAAAUCCGCAGAGCAACAUUCGGGCAGCGUGUGACGGUUUCAUUGGCCGUUUGAAGGCCAUAAUUCGUGCCAAAGGUGACCAAUUGGAACAAAUCUAAACAUAUUUUAAAAUUUUACGAUAUUUCCGACAUUUUUGCUUUCAUUCAAUAAAAUUUAAAAAAAAGUGUAAAAAUUA